This 70-nucleotide transfer RNA is filed under the name Leptocimbex linealis. RNAcentral's name for it is "tRNA-Glu". Lineage: Eukaryota; Metazoa; Arthropoda; Insecta; Hymenoptera; Cimbicidae. The record is from RNAcentral.
AUUUAUAUAGUUUAUAAAAAAAACAUUAUAUUUUCAUUAUAAAAAAAAGAUAAAAAUAUCUUUAUAAAUA